AGCAUCAUAAAGUGCUCAUGUUAGCUGUGUUCCUGGAGGAGUUAUGCUUUUGGAAGUCAGUUGAAAUUUGAUGGGAGUGGAGAUCUGAGAAGCAGUUGUUGGUAUGGACCAAACAUGUGCACAUGUUGUCAUGUUUUAAUAUAAGAAAUUCUCCUUUCUGUCCAGCAUCCGAAGAGAGCACAUUUCAUAGCGAUUGCUCUGGCAAGUCAAAGUUGCAGCCUUUCUCAUGACAGCUUUCCCUCUACUACAACAAACUCAUCCUCUUUGGAGACAAGAAUUUGCUGCCCCAGCUUCUUUUCAUUGUCUGCUGGCUCUUGUUCUGCCAUUAAUGCUAAAAGCUCCACUUGAUUCUGAGAAGAAACAGAGAGGUACUGAAAGGAAACACUAGUGAGAGUAAAGGUUGCAUGAAGUUCUGCAGCACACAGUGCUGACACCUUCAAAAUGUAGCAAGACAAGCCAACUCUUGCUACAGUUCCUUUGUCCAUGGAAGUUAAAUAUUGGGUAUAUCUGGAUCUGUUAACAUAAAGCUGAACUUUGGACCUUCAAUUUCUCCAGGAGCUGUGGAGAGGUGUGCAAAUAUGGUAAGGAUGUAUUAAAUCUUAGAUAACACAGACCUGCACAGGUCUGAGUUUGCAGCCACACAACUAGACAACAUAUUCUUGUAGCCAGAAUAACAACCAAAAUUAAAUAUGAAGGUGGCAUCACAUGGCAAUGAGAUCAUUAACAACACUUCUGUUAAGAUCAGAGAUAUGUAUG
RNAcentral lists this long non-coding RNA (756 nucleotides) under Meleagris gallopavo (turkey). RNAcentral describes it as "lncRNA (ENSMGAG00000020133.1)". Lineage: Eukaryota; Metazoa; Chordata; Aves; Galliformes; Phasianidae. The record is from RNAcentral.